AGGAGUACGGCGUAAGCGUGUUAAAGCAUCAUACUAAAUAGAGUUAAAUUUUAAUUAAACUGUAAAAAGCCAUAAUUAUAACAAAAAUAAAUGACGAAAGUAACCCUACAAUAGCUGAUACACCAUAGCUAAGACCCAAACUGGGAUUAGAUACCCCACUAUGCUUAGCCCUAAACACAAAUAAUUAUAAGAACAAAAUUAUUCGCCAGAGUACUACCGGCAACAGCCCGAAACUCAAAGGACUUGGCGGUGCUUUAUACCCUUCUAGAGGAGCCUGUUCUAUAAUCGAUAAACCCCGAUAAACCUCACCAAUCCUUGCUAAUACAGUCUAUAUACCGCCAUCUUCAGCAAACCCUAAAAAAGGGACAAAAGUAAGCUCAAUAAUAACACAUAAAGACGUUAGGUCAAGGUGUAACCUAUGGAGUGGGAAGAAAUGGGCUACAUUUUCUACCCAAGAAAAUUUAAUACGAAAGCCAUUAUGAAAUUAAUAGCCAAAGGAGGAUUUAGCAGUAAACUAAGAAUAGAGUGCUUAGUUGAAUCAGGCCAUGAAGCACGCACACACCGCCCGUCACCCUCCUCAAGUAAAUAUGAUAUACUCAAACCUAUUUACAUAUAUCAACCACACGAGAGGAGACAA
Molecule: ribosomal RNA, 637 nt
Filed under: Ovis aries (sheep)
Lineage: Eukaryota; Metazoa; Chordata; Mammalia; Artiodactyla; Bovidae
Description: partial 12S ribosomal RNA
Rfam family: Bacterial small subunit ribosomal RNA
Source: RNAcentral